This 255-nucleotide ribosomal RNA is filed under the name uncultured bacterium. RNAcentral's name for it is "partial 16S ribosomal RNA". It matches the Rfam family "Bacterial small subunit ribosomal RNA", at positions 524 to 777 of the family's 1533-position model. The record is from RNAcentral.
UACGUAGGCAGCAAGCGUUGUUCGGAGUUACUGGGCGUAAAGGGUGUGUAGGCGGUUGUUUAAGUUUGGUGUGAAAUCUCCCGGCUCAACUGGGAGGGUGCGCCGAAUACUGAAUGACUAGAGUGCGGGAGAGGAAAGUGGAAUUCCUGGUGUAGAGGUGAAAUUCGUAGAUAUUCGCAAGAACACCAGUGGCGAAGGCGGCUCACUGGCCCGAUACCUGACGCUGAGGCACGAAAGCGUGGGGAGCAAACAGGG